Podarcis lilfordi (Lilford's wall lizard) is the source of this 89-nucleotide non-coding RNA. The record is from the annotation of a GenBank genome assembly. Lineage: Eukaryota; Metazoa; Chordata; Lepidosauria; Squamata; Lacertidae.
UCCAAAAUAGUUUACUGUAGCAGUCGGUAGAGCAUGAGACUCUUACUCUCAGGGUUGUGGGUUGCAGUCCCAUGUUGGGGGGGGGGGAA